RNAcentral lists this ribosomal RNA (394 nucleotides) under uncultured bacterium. RNAcentral describes it as "bacterial SSU rRNA". It matches the Rfam family "Bacterial small subunit ribosomal RNA", at positions 998 to 1386 of the family's 1533-position model. The record is from RNAcentral.
CUGCAGAGAGCGGGAGUGCCUUCGGGAGCCAGACACAGGUGCUGCAUGGCUGUCGUCAGCUCGUGUCGUGAGAUGUUGGGUUAAGUCCCGUAACGAGCGCAACCCUUGUCCCUAGUUGCCAGCGAUUCGGUCGGGAACUCUAGGGAGACCGCCGGUGAUAAACCGGAGGAAGGGGGGGAUGACGUCAAGUCAUCAUGGCCCUUAUGGCCAGGGCUACCCACGUGCUACAAUGGUCGGUACAGAGGGCAGCGAAACCCCGAGGUGGAGCAAAUCCCAAAAAGCCGAUCUUAGUCCGGAUUGCAGUCUGCAACUCCACUGCAUGAAGUCGGAAUCCCUAGUAAUCCCGAAUCAAAAUGUCCCGGUGAAUACGUUCCCGGGCCUUGUACCCCCCGAA